UACGUAGGGGGCAAGCGUUGUUCGGAAUUACUGGGCGUAAAGGGCGCGUAGGCGGCACGACAAGUCGGGAGUGAAAGCCCGGGGCUCAACCCCGGAAUGUCUCUCGAAACUGUCGAGCUAGAGUGCAGAAGAGGCAACUGGAAUUCCCAGUGUAGCGGUGAAAUGCGUAGAUAUCAGGAAGAACACCAACGGCGAAGGCAGCUCGCUGGGACGGUACUGACGCUGAGACGCGAAAGCGUGGGGAGCGAACAGG
This 253-nucleotide ribosomal RNA is filed under the name uncultured bacterium. Its description in RNAcentral is "partial 16S ribosomal RNA". It matches the Rfam family "Bacterial small subunit ribosomal RNA", at positions 524 to 776 of the family's 1533-position model. The record is from RNAcentral.